UACGUAGGGUGCGAGCGUUGUCCGGAAUUAUUGGGCGUAAAGGGCUCGUAGGCGGUCUGUCACGUCGGGAGUGAAAACUCGGGGCUUAACUCCGAGCCUGCUUCUGAUACGGGCAGACUAGAGGUAUGCAGGGGAGAAUGGAAUUCCUGGUGUAGCGGUGAAAUGCGCAGAUAUCAGGAGGAACACCGGUGGCGAAGGCGGUUCUCUGGGAAUGACCUGACGCUGAGGAGCGAAAGUGUGGGGGAGCGAACAGG
This 254-nucleotide ribosomal RNA is filed under the name uncultured bacterium. Its description in RNAcentral is "partial 16S ribosomal RNA". It matches the Rfam family "Bacterial small subunit ribosomal RNA", at positions 524 to 776 of the family's 1533-position model. The record is from RNAcentral.